CCUACGGGUGGCAGCAGUGAGGAAUAUUGGUCAAUGGCCGGAAGGCUGAACCAGCCAUGCCGCGUGAAGGUCAGUGCCCUAUGGGCGUUAAACUUCUUUUGUGCGGGAGCAACAAUGGCCACGUGUGGCCAGACGAGAGUACCGUACGCAUAAGCAUCGGCUAACUCAGUGCCAGCAGCAGCGGUAAUACGGGGGAGGCAAGCGUUAUCCGGAUUUAAUGGGUUUAAAGGGUACGUAGGCUGUGAGGUAAGUCAGCGGGGAAAUGCCCCGCCUCAACGGGGGGAAGUGCCAUUGAUACUGCCUUGCUGGAAUGCGGAUGCCGAGGGAGGAAUGUGUGGUGGAGCGGUGAAAUGCAUAGAUAUCA
RNAcentral lists this ribosomal RNA (364 nucleotides) under uncultured bacterium. Its description in RNAcentral is "partial 16S ribosomal RNA". It matches the Rfam family "Bacterial small subunit ribosomal RNA", at positions 338 to 699 of the family's 1533-position model. The record is from RNAcentral.